UGUAACAAUAUUAUAAGCUAGAACAUGUCACCCAUAUAUCUCGGUGCCAAUUUUGUCAUCUAUUAUUCAUUGUUUGUCUCCCCGGGUACGCAUGUAUGUGUGUCAGCAGGUCCCUCUCUACCCAAAAGCUCUUCAAUGCACAAACACACCUCUAUUCCAGAGGAUUUUUGAUUGACACUUCAUUUCGGUGCUCUCGGUGCUCUCAAAUGCAUUU
Molecule: non-coding RNA, 214 nt
Organism: Caenorhabditis elegans
Lineage: Eukaryota; Metazoa; Nematoda; Chromadorea; Rhabditida; Rhabditidae
Source: Ensembl